CCCUUAGAUGUUCUGGGCCGCACGCGUGCUACACUGAGUGGAUCAGCGGGUCAGGUUGCGCGAAAGCGUUUCCUAAUCUUAAAAUCCGCUCGUGAUGGGGAUUGACGGUUGCAAUUUUCUGUCAUGAACGAGGAAUACCUUGUAAGCGCGGGUCAUCAUCCCGCGCUGAAUACGUCCCUGCCCUUUGUACACACCGCCCGUCGCUCCUACCGAUUGAGUGGUCCGGUGAGGCUUUGGGAUCUGAGCGGAAAGAGCGUUUCGCUGUUUCUGCUCGGAAAACUCAGUCGAACCUUAUCAUUUAGAGGAAGGAGAAGUCGUAACA
This 322-nucleotide ribosomal RNA is filed under the name uncultured eukaryote. Its description in RNAcentral is "partial 18S ribosomal RNA". It matches the Rfam family "Eukaryotic small subunit ribosomal RNA", at positions 1470 to 1796 of the family's 1831-position model. The record is from RNAcentral.